AACGAACGCUGGCGGCAUGCCUAACACAUGCAAGUCGAACGAGACCUUCGGGUAUAGUGGCGAACGGGUGCGUAACGCGUGGGAACAUGCCCUUCGGUCCGCAAUAACUCUCCGAAAGGGGUGCUAAUACCGGAUAAUGUCUUCGGACCAAGGAUUUAUCGCCUUUGGAUGCGCACGCGUUGGAGUAGCUAGUUGGUAGGGUAAAAGCCUACCAAGGCGAUGAUCCAUAGCUGGUCUGUGAGGAUGAGAAGCCACACUGGGACUGAGAACCGGCCCAGACACUUACGGAUGGCAGCAAUGGGGUAUAUUGUAAAGUGGGUGGAAGCCUGAUACACCAAGGCCGCGUGAAUGAUGCAGGCCUGAGUGUGGUAAAGUGCGUUUACCCGGGAUGAUAAUGACGGUACCGGGAGAAUAAGCUCCGGCUAACUCCGUG
RNAcentral lists this ribosomal RNA (433 nucleotides) under uncultured bacterium. RNAcentral's name for it is "partial 16S ribosomal RNA". It matches the Rfam family "Bacterial small subunit ribosomal RNA", at positions 29 to 507 of the family's 1533-position model. The record is from RNAcentral.